AUUUAAAUAGUUUAAGAUAAAAAAUUCUGAUUUGUGGUGUCAGAGAUGUAGAAGUACUUUAAAUA
Molecule: transfer RNA, 65 nt
Filed under: Cylindraustralia sp. HS-2014
Lineage: Eukaryota; Metazoa; Arthropoda; Insecta; Orthoptera; Cylindrachetidae
Description: tRNA-His
Source: RNAcentral